Molecule: ribosomal RNA, 439 nt
Filed under: uncultured bacterium
Lineage: Bacteria
Description: partial 16S ribosomal RNA
Rfam family: Bacterial small subunit ribosomal RNA
Source: RNAcentral
CUACGGGGUGCAGCAGUGGGGAAUAUUGCACAAUGGAGGAAACUCUGAUGCAGCAACGCCGCGUGGAGGAUGACACUUUUCGGAGCGUAAACUCCUUUUAUAUAGGAAGGAGAUGACGGUACUAUAUGAAUAAGCGCCGGCUAACUCCGUGCCAGCAGCCGCGGUAAUACGGAGGGCGCAAGCGUUACUCGGAAUCACUGGGCGUAAAGAGCGUGUAGGCGGAUUAAAAAGUCAGAAGUGAAAUCUUAUAGCUUAACUAUAGAACUGCUUCUGAAACUCUUAAUCUAGAAUAUGGGAGAGGUAGAUGGAAUUUCUGGUGUAGGGGUAAAAUCCGUAGAGAUCAGAAGGAAUACCGAUUGCGAAGGCGAUCUACUAGAACAUUAUUGACGCUGAGACGCGAAAGCGUGGGGAGCAAACAGGAUUAGAUACCCUUGUAGUC